CCUACGGGCGACAGCAGUGGGGAAUAUUGCACAAUGGGGGAAACCCUGAUGCAGCGACGCCGCGUGAAGGAAGAAGUAUUUCGGUAUGUAAACUUCUAUCAGCAGGGAAGAAAAUGACGGUAUCUGACUAAGAAGCCCCGGCUAACUACGGGCCAGCAGCCGCGGUAAUACGUAGGGGGCAAGCGUUAUCCGGAUUUACUGGGUGUAAAGGGAGCGUAGGCGGUGAUGCAAGUCAGAAGUGAAAGCCCGCAGCUCAACCGCGGGACUGCAUUUGGAACUGUAUGACUGGAUUGCAGGAGAGGUAGGUGGAAUUCCUAGUGUAGCGGUGAAAUGCGUAGAUAUUAGGAGGAACACCAGUGGCGAAGGCGGCUUACUGGACUGUAAAUGACGCUGAGGCUCGAAAGCGUGGGGAGCAAACAGGAUUAGAUACCCUUGUAGUC
Molecule: ribosomal RNA, 440 nt
Filed under: uncultured bacterium
Lineage: Bacteria
Description: partial 16S ribosomal RNA
Rfam family: Bacterial small subunit ribosomal RNA
Source: RNAcentral